AAGGACUGUUUGUUUGUUGUUAUUCUGGUGCUAUGCUUUCCAGGGACGUGGUUAAGAUUGGACUUCCCCACCCCCUUGAAAUGAGGCACAGCCUGUAAUUAGGUGUGGCCAGUAUAAUGUGGGCAGAAGUCUUUAAGAUGUAGUACACCGAUUACAUUCACUUCCUCUGGCCACCAGUUCCAGAUGGUGGAGUCUUUUUCAGGCUUUACCCCCAAGUGAAGUCAAAUCCACUCUUUGCCCCUCACCAGCUGAUGCAUAAUGGACAUGUAAUUUGAGACAGAAAUACUUACUUUCCAUAAUUUCAUUUUUUCCCCUGCCUAUUAUGGAAAUUGCUAUCAGGAGUGGGGCGCUAACAUAGCAAGAAAAGUGUAUUUGUCAUUGGUUCGAAGGACAGGUUGUGGGCAGUGAAGAGACUGUUGCAGAGUUUGGAGAGGUGACAUGUUUUAUAGUGGCAGAAAGUUUAGUUAACCUGCUGCCCACAGUGACUUGGAGGGCAAAUUACAUGCCUAAUGCAUUUGUAGCUCCGGAGAAAGAAGUAGGACACAGAAUGUUAGUAAUGUGUAUUGGUUUCUGUUGGUUGAACUUGACAAGGUGAUAUGUGAGACAAGGUCAGAAAAAAAAUUAGCUGGAUUCCAAGUAGGGAUUAAUGGGAAAUUUGAGACUUUACGAUGUUGGAAAGGCUAUAAUUUUAAAUUCCAAACAGUAGAAGAUAAAAUUAGUGACUUUAGGCAAUUAAAAUAAUAUUAUAAUGGAGCCUUGAAGCAAAGGGCAUGCUAUUUUGUUAAAAAUCAUUUAACUGACUAUAUUUUCCUGGUCAUCACACUACCAUUAUGAAACCCCCUGGAAGGACUAACAUGCACCAAAGUGAAGAUCUAAGUAAGAGAUGUCUUUGAAGAAAAUUGUGGAUAUGGCUGCUAGCACAUGGAGUUUUUCUGGAAUCAAAUAGACACAAAGCAGAUGAAGUUCUUGCAAGAGGUGUACUUUCAAGGGAAUAACUGGUUGAACUAAAAAAGACUGGAAACAUGAAGGAGUUAAAGUGACCCCUGGCCACCAACCCAGCAGGGCAGGACAGGGUGAGAAAGCAGAACAGCCCUUAGGCAAAGCUUGUUCCUAAUACCUGCUUCUUGAGUUAUGCCAAGGAGCACAAUGGAAAGGCGGCCAGAGGCCACAACGGCCAUGGGUCAUGAGCUCCUCACUCAGGCUUGUUUCAGGGCUCUGUCCCCACCCAGGGCAGACCUCAGAUUAUUUGUCCUGGAGAUUUUGGAACUGCCAAACACCAGUGCCUACUGUCUCUGUUCCAUUUUCCCUCUUCCCGAACAGGAAUGCCUGUGGAGGUUGUCUGUUCCUCUUACCGCCGGUGUAAACUGUGCGAGAGCACGGGAUAGAUAACAGGUUUUCAGUUCAUGGCCUCCGGAACACGAGGGCUCAUGUGCAGGACCAGUGUGGUUACUGUGAACCACCUCCUGCUAUAGACUAAAUUGUAUCCCCUUAAUUUUUAAUUGUAAUAUUUUGAAUUAGUGCAUAUUAAUCAUACAGAAUGGGUUUCAUUGUGCAUAUUUGUACGUGCAUAUAAUAUACUUGAUCAUAUUCACUUCCUUUCUCCUUUCCCCUGAUUCCCUUCCUCUUUUGUAAUAUUGUCCCUUCUACUAUCAUGUUCUCUUCUUUUUCCCCUAGAUUCCACAUAUGAGAGAAAACAUGUGAUUCUUAUCUUCCUGAGUCUGGCUUAUAUUGCUUAACAAAAUAAUGGAUGAACUCAAGUUUCAUCUAUUUUCCUGCAAAUGACAUGAUUUUGUUUUUCUUUGUGGCUAAAUAAUACUCCAUUGUGUAUGUAUAACACAUUUUCUUUGUCCCUUAAAAUUUGUAUGUUCAAUCCCUGACCUCCAUUGUGAUUGUAUGUGGAGACUGGGCCUUUAAAGGGACAGUUAGGGUUAAAUGAGGUCAUAUGGUGAGCCCUGGUCCCAUCUGACUGGUGUCCAUAUAAGAAGAAGACACCCGUGACGCGGCCUCACAAAGGGAAGGUCGGAUGAGGAUACAGUGAGGACGUGGCACCUGCCAAUCAAGGAGAGAGGUCUCAGGAAAAAUCAGUCCUGAAGAUACCUUGAUCUUGAACUUCCAGCCUCCAGAAUUGUGAGAAAUAGAUUCUACUGUUUAACCUACCCAUUGUUACGGAGCCAUCUGUUCUUAUGGUGGCCUAGCAAGCUAACAGACUCUGGAUGAAGGUACAGAGCACCACCCAGAAGUACUGGAUCCAUGACUGGAUGGGAUUUUGAGAUGUCUUUCUUGGGAGGAGAAUAAAAUAAUUUUAAGGGAAGAAAACUGAGCUGACUAUUGGGCAAGCAGAGGGUUGGACUGUAGUGGUGAUUAGGACUCUUGCCCAGUAUUCCAGCAUGGUGGGGUUGAACUUCCAUGCCCCCUUGAACAGAGGCAUGCGGUGUGGCUCACCCAGCAGGUGCAAUGUGAGUAGAAUUGACAGGUGGUUCUCCUAGUCAGACCCUCUUUGGAGCUGAAGCACCAUUUGCUAUGUUCUCUUCCCCUGUCAUUCAGCCUAUGAUUUCAGAUGGUGGAGUGUCGCCAACUUGUAUCCCUGAGUGCAGAUGAUGGGGAGCAGAGUCCCAGCCAAUCCACACAAAUCACAAGCAUUGGUGAGGCUACUGAAUCACUGUCAGAAGAACAUGCUUUAAGUUAGUUUGUCGGUGGUGCUGAUGGAUUCCCUUGAAACCAGUCAUGCUUCUCUGCUCUGUUGCCUCUGGGUUGUGUGUAGCUACUUUUCGGAGCCAAGCCUUGCCUCAAGCCCACAGCGUCAGCUGCACUCACUGUACAGAGUUGGCCAAAGAGGCAGAGCCACAACUGGUGUGCAGCUUGUAUGUGGAUUGUAAGCCAGGAAGAGCAACAGGCAAAAGGCGUCAAUCAGAACAGUACGCUCCAGGAACAUCUGUCGCACGCCUUUCUGAAUAAUGAGCGUUACAAGGAAUUUUUACCACAUUCAGUUCCACUCCUUGUUGACACAACCGUGAGUGUAGUCUGGAAAUUGUUAUAAUAGGGGGUGAAGUCUAAUCAACCACACUCUGUCGUGUGCAUGCAUGAACACAUCACGGUGAAUUCCAGUUUUAGGUAUGACUGUGAUGCACCCAUUAAAAAAGACUAGUUCAAAACUUCCUGCAGAAUAGAACAACUGCUGUCAUUGCAUGCUUGGGCGUUUCUUCUCACAAUACUUUGGAAAGCAGAGAACCUCACAGAAGCUUCCAGAAGAUGUCUUCUGCAACUUUUGUUUGAGCAGCUAUUUUGUGACCUUGCCUCUCCUUCUUACAACUGAGAGGCCCAAGGGGACUCUACACAAACUGUGUCCUUCCCUAGGAGUUUCGACAUAGCAUCUAGAAUGUACGGCCAGUCUCUCAUGGAGGCAGAGGUUGAAGAGACAGCUGGGAGAUGUUGACAGGGUGGUCUCGCUCUCCAGAAGGUCUGUGGGGAAAGAUGGAAGAAGGAAGCAGGGAAUGGAGGCCAGAGGAGAAGGAGGAGCCUGGCAGUGUGCAGGGGCCUGGCUGCAUGUCCUCACACCGUCGCGAGACAGAGAUCAUUCGCUCCGUGGAACACGAACCGGGUCCCGAUCUCCACUGGCCUGGCAUCAGAGGAUCCCGAUCUCCACUGGCCUGGCGUCAGAGGCUGAAGUCCAAAAUCAAGGUGUUAGCAGGGCUGCUUCCCACUGGGGGCUCUGAAGAGAGAACCUGUUCCAGCCGCCCCCUUGCCUGGGUGGGGGGCGACCUCGGUGUGCCUCCACUGCGGGAGUGACCCCACUCUGCUCCUGCUCCCACCGCACUCUCCCUGCCUCUCUCCCCAUGGGCCGUCUUCCUCUGUGUGCGUCUGUCUCUGGGUCUCAAUCUCUUGAUAAAGACAGCAGUCAGGCUGGAUUUGGGGCCCCUCCUAAUGAUGUAAUCUUAACCUGAUUGCAUCUGCCAAGGUCUUACUUAAAAGUAAGAUCACAUUCACAGAUACUAGGAUUUCGUGAGGGAGCUGUGUCAUUAACAGACCAAACACACUGUGUCUUUCUACAAUGUCAAAAUUUGUUGGAUAAAUAAAUUCGCAGG
This is a long non-coding RNA of Sciurus carolinensis (gray squirrel), 4082 nucleotides long. RefSeq lists it as uncharacterized. The transcript has 4 exons. Lineage: Eukaryota; Metazoa; Chordata; Mammalia; Rodentia; Sciuridae. The record is from RefSeq and is a predicted model, not a curated record.